RNAcentral lists this ribosomal RNA (492 nucleotides) under uncultured bacterium. RNAcentral describes it as "partial 16S ribosomal RNA". It matches the Rfam family "Bacterial small subunit ribosomal RNA", at positions 29 to 507 of the family's 1533-position model. The record is from RNAcentral.
AGUGAACGCUGGCGGUAGGCCUAACACAUGCAAGUCGAACGGCAGCACAGUAAGAGCUUGCUCUUACGGGUGGCGAGUGGCGGACGGGUGAGGAAUACAUCGGAAUCUACUUUUUCGUGGGGGAUAACGUAGGGAAACUUACGCUAAUACCGCAUACGACCUACGGGUGAAAGCAGGGGAUCUUCGGACCUUGCGCGAUUGAAUGAGCCGAUGUCGGAUUAGCUGGUUGGCGGGGUAAAGGCCCACCAAGGCGACGAUCCGUAGCUGGUCUGAGAGGAUGAUCAGCCACACUGGAACUGAGACACGGUCCAGACUCCUACGGGAGGCAGCAGUGGGGAAUAUUGGACAAUGGGCGCAAGCCUGAUCCAGCCGUACCGCGUGGGUGAAGAAGGCCUUCGGGUUGUAAAGCCCUUUUGUUGGGAAAGAAAAGCAGCAGGUUAAUACCCCGCUGUUCUGACGGUACCCAAAGAAUAAGCACCGGCUAACUUCGUG